AACGAACGCUGGUGGCGUGCUUAACACAUGCAAGUCGAACGAGAAAGUUUCCUUCGGGGAAUUAGUAAAGUGGCGCAAGGGUGAGUAUCACGGUGAAUAAUCUGCCCUCGAGAUCGGGAUAACAGUGGUGAAAACGUAUGGCUAAUACCGGAUAAGACCACAUUUUCAUAAGGAAAUGCGGUAAAAGGAGUCUCAAUCUUCACUCGAGGAUGAGUUCGCGCAACAUUAGCUUGUUGGUGAGAUAAAAGCUCACCAAGGCUACGAUGUUUAGCCGGCCUGAGAGGGUGAACGGCCACACUGGAACUGAGACACGGUCCAGACUCCUACGGGAGGCAGCAGUGGGGGAAUAUUGCGCAAUGGGCGAAAGCCUGACGCAGCAACGCCGUGUGAGCGAUG
Molecule: ribosomal RNA, 396 nt
Filed under: uncultured Nitrospina sp.
Lineage: Bacteria; Pseudomonadati; Nitrospinota; Nitrospinia; Nitrospinales; Nitrospinaceae
Description: bacterial SSU rRNA
Rfam family: Bacterial small subunit ribosomal RNA
Source: RNAcentral